UGAGGGAAUAUUUGGGUCAAUGGACGAGAGUCUGAACCAGCCAAGUAGCGUGCAGGAUGACGGCCCUCCGGGUUGUAAACUGCUUUUAGUUGGGAAUAAAAAAGAUGACGUGUCAUCUAUUGUAUGUACCAUCAGAAAAAGGACCGGCUAAUUCCGUGCCAGCAGCCGCGGUAAUACGGAAGGUCCAGGCGUUAUCCGGAUUUAUUGGGUUUAAAGGGAGCGUAGGCGGAGAGAUAAGUCAGCGGUAAAAUCGUGCGGCUCAACCGUACCUCGCCGUUGAUACUGGUGGUCUUGAGUGCGCGCAGGGGCGUUGGAAUUCAUGGUGUAGCGGUGAAAUGCUCAGAUAUCAUGAAGAACUCCGAUCGCGAAGGCAGAUGCCCGGAGCGCAACUGACGCUGAGGCUCGAAAGUGCGGGUAUCAAACAGGAUUAGAUACCCUGGUAGU
RNAcentral lists this ribosomal RNA (444 nucleotides) under uncultured Prevotellaceae bacterium. RNAcentral describes it as "bacterial SSU rRNA". It matches the Rfam family "Bacterial small subunit ribosomal RNA", at positions 352 to 794 of the family's 1533-position model. The record is from RNAcentral. Lineage: Bacteria; Pseudomonadati; Bacteroidota; Bacteroidia; Bacteroidales; Prevotellaceae.